This 253-nucleotide ribosomal RNA is filed under the name uncultured bacterium. Its description in RNAcentral is "partial 16S ribosomal RNA". It matches the Rfam family "Bacterial small subunit ribosomal RNA", at positions 524 to 776 of the family's 1533-position model. The record is from RNAcentral.
UACGGAGGGAGCUAGCGUUAUUCGGAAUUACUGGGCGUAAAGCGCACGUAGGCGGCUUUGUAAGGUAGAGGUGAAAGCCUGGAGCUCAACUCCAGAAUUGCCUUUAAGACUGCAUCGCUUGAAUCCAGGAGAGGUGAGUGGAAUUCCGAGUGUAGAGGUGAAAUUCGUAGAUAUUCGGAAGAACACCAGUGGCGAAGGCGGCUCACUGGACUGGUAUUGACGCUGAGGUGCGAAAGCGUGGGGAGCAAACAGG